Molecule: ribosomal RNA, 228 nt
Filed under: Triticum aestivum (bread wheat)
Lineage: Eukaryota; Viridiplantae; Streptophyta; Magnoliopsida; Poales; Poaceae
Description: partial small subunit ribosomal RNA
Source: RNAcentral
AUGUUUUUGAACCACUCGGGGGCGACGUACCCUCGAGUUCCCCUGAUGCCAGUGUUCGUCUGUGUCUGAUUUGUCCUGAGCAACUUUGCUAGGCCAAAGUCUGAGAUCUUUGCCACGAGAUUCUCAUCAAGAAGGAUGUUUUGGGGCUUUAUGUCACAAUGGAUUAUUUGAGUGUUGCAUUCCUCAUGUAAGUAGAGCAGGCCUCUUGCCAACCCAAGUGCGACUUGA